This 66-nucleotide non-coding RNA is filed under the name unclassified sequences. RNAcentral's name for it is "narK RNA". It matches the Rfam family "narK RNA". The record is from RNAcentral.
GGCACAGCCCUUGCUCCACUCCUGACACCUGCGAUCCAACGGCGGAUCGCCCGACAACGGCGUCGC